Molecule: signal recognition particle RNA, 99 nt
Filed under: Spirochaetaceae bacterium
Lineage: Bacteria; Pseudomonadati; Spirochaetota; Spirochaetia; Spirochaetales; Spirochaetaceae
Description: signal recognition particle sRNA small type
Rfam family: Bacterial small signal recognition particle RNA
About the family: The signal recognition particle (SRP) is a universally conserved ribonucleoprotein involved in the co-translational targeting of proteins to membranes. Archaeal SRP consists of a 7S RNA and homologues of the eukaryotic SRP19 and SRP54 proteins.
Source: RNAcentral
UUGAAGGAACCGUGCGAAUACGCGCCGCCCAACCCCGCCAGGUCCGGAAGGAAGCAACGGUAAGCGGAUGCUUGUUGCGCCGCGGCAAGCCUUCAGCAG